Molecule: long non-coding RNA, 1708 nt
Organism: Ruditapes philippinarum (Manila clam)
Lineage: Eukaryota; Metazoa; Mollusca; Bivalvia; Venerida; Veneridae
Exons: 4
Source: RefSeq, a predicted model, not a curated record
UGCGUCUAUAGAUGUCCCGGCUAACUUUUCGAUGAAUCCAAUUCACAAAAUUACACCUGGUGUAUGCUUUCAACAUUGCAAAGGAACGGGAAUGACAUUUAAAAUAAUCGGAUUAAGUCGGGGCAAGUGUUUUUGCGUGACCCAUGAAUCUAGCAGUGGUGACAUUAAGACUGGUUGUGUUUUGAAAAAUUCGGAGUGGCUGGCUGGGGAUGGAGUUAGUUUUAUGUCUCUAUGUGAGAAGAAAGGUUAAGUAAUUUUAUUUACGCUUACACUAUGAUAUAUCAAUUACAGAUAAAAUUUGUCACACUUGAUUUCAUUUUUUUCACACUGACCGUCAACCAAAUAUGAAUUAUGAACAUGCUUUGCAAAUAAUUAUUAGUUCUUCAAAUAGAUUGACCAUCAACAUCAAUGUUUCCUUACUUUUUUUGUUGCUUCGAUUUUAUUUUACAAGUUCUGCUUCUAAUCUAAAUUGUAUAAUUAAUAUGUAUUUUAUGUCCAUUGACUUAGUAAAUAUAUAAAUAACGCAUUGCAUGUUAAUGAUAAGUGAAAAGAAAAUUGCCAGUUUUGUGGAGAGUUGAAAAUAGCCCUUCAAGGUAGGAAACUUGGAUUUUUUAUGAAAGUUAUUUAUCUAAAUGUGUACUACAUAUCAUUUAUUGCGAUUUAUGAUCAUUAAAAUGAAGUAUUUGUUGUAGCAAGGAUUAAGACUACCUUGAUAAGAUUUUUCAACAUCUUGAAUUAAUAGUUGAACCCAAUCAAUUUGUGGCAGGACCCUAUAAUUAAAUGGCGUGCAUCAUUGGACCCUGUCAACUGAAAGUAAAGGAAAUAUCUGUAUAACAUCAGGAAGUUGGAGUAUGGAAAAUAUUGAUUGCUGCCAUAUAUUUAGAACAACUUCUGUUGUAUGAAUAUUCUUAACUCCAUUGAGCAAUGAAAAAGAAUAAAUAAAUACAAAUAUGAAAUGUGCAACAAGUAAUCAUAGAGUAUGUGCAUGAGAGAUAAUGUAAAAUGUCCUAAAACACCGGUGGAUUUAAUCCGUAACACUAAAAAUAAAAUUAUUUUAAAAAUUUGACAGUCACUUAACAAACUUUCAAUUGCAAUGCAAUGCAAAAAGUAUAUCAUAAAUGUGUAUUUUAAUUAUUUGUCAUAUUAAAAGAGAAUCGGGGCAUCUGAGACAAAUACUGUAUUAAAAUGGUUUUUACUGUCUCUUUUUAAUUUUACUUAAAUGUGUACAUUCUUCAUAUCAUUCUAUGUACCUUUUAGAAAAGUAAAGGUUAUUUUAAGCUUCUUUUUCAGAGUUGUUGUCUGAUGUCAGCAGUGAUGGAAACUGUUUUGCUUUCAAUAAGCGCAACAAAACUGCAUGGCAAAUGUGCAGUCAGAUCAGAAAAUCUAUUUGCAAAGCGCAAAGUGGAAAAUUUAUAAAGGUAGGAGGGGAAUGGCAUCUUGCUUGGACAGAAUACAUCAAAGAGUGUUUUUUGAAAAGAUGCAACCCACUCAUAUACGAAGAUGUCAAGAAAAAGCCGGAACAACUUUACGAGCUUGCAGAAAGCUUCACAUGGACACGUCUUAUACGAAGCAUGGUAGUUUACAAGUAUAAUGAGUUCAACGAUAAAAUGAACAUAAAAUACGGUUACAUAAAAGGACAUGGUUCAUUCGUAAACCUGGAAUUUACUUUCAAUGGGAAUGCAGCAAAACGAGCUCUUUUUAAAACUUG